This 253-nucleotide ribosomal RNA is filed under the name uncultured bacterium. RNAcentral's name for it is "partial 16S ribosomal RNA". It matches the Rfam family "Bacterial small subunit ribosomal RNA", at positions 524 to 776 of the family's 1533-position model. The record is from RNAcentral.
GACAGAGGGGGCAAGCGUUGCUCGGAAUUACUGGGCGUAAAGGGCGCGUAGGCGGGAUGGCAAGUCGGUCGUGAAAUCCCUGGGCUCAACCCAGGAACUGCGUCCGAUACUGGUUGGCUUGAAUCCGGGAGAGGGAUGUGGAAUUCCAGGUGUAGCGGUGAAAUGCGUAGAUAUCUGGAGGAACACCGGUGGCGAAGGCGACAUCCUGGACCGGUAUUGACGCUGAGGCGCGAAAGCCAGGGGAGCAAACGGG